This 500-nucleotide ribosomal RNA is filed under the name uncultured bacterium. RNAcentral describes it as "partial 16S ribosomal RNA". It matches the Rfam family "Bacterial small subunit ribosomal RNA", at positions 30 to 523 of the family's 1533-position model. The record is from RNAcentral.
AUUGAACGCUGGCGGCAUGCCUUACACAUGCAAGCCGAACGGCAGCACGGACUUCGGUCUGGCGGCGAGUGGCGAACGGGUGAGUAAUACAUUGGAACGUGCCCAGUCGUGGGGGAUAACGUAGCGAAAGCUACGCUAAUACCGCAUACGAUCUAAGGAUGAAAGCGGGGGAUCGCAAGACCUCGCGCGAUUGGAGCGGCCGAUGGCAGAUUAGGUAGUUGGUAGGGUAAAGGCCUACCAAGCCGACGAUCUGUAGCUGGUCUGAGAGGAUGAUCAGCCACACUGGGACUGAGACACGGCCCAGACUCCUACGGGAGGCAGCAGUGGGGAAUUUUGGACAAUGGGCGCAAGCCUGAUCCAGCCAUUCCGCGUGCAGGAUGAAGGCCUUCGGGUUGUAAACUGCUUUUGUACAGAACGAAAAGGCUCUGGUUAAUACCCGGGGCUCAUGACGGUACUGUAAGAAUAAGCACCGGCUAACUACGUGCCAGCCGCCGCGGUAA